Molecule: non-coding RNA, 1717 nt
Organism: Punica granatum (pomegranate)
Lineage: Eukaryota; Viridiplantae; Streptophyta; Magnoliopsida; Myrtales; Lythraceae
Source: RefSeq, a predicted model, not a curated record
CUUUAUCUGCUGCUUGUGUUGAUCUUCCAGAGAACGGCAGCUGACCAGAUCUUGCGAGAGUUGCAGAACAAUCCAGAUCUGAAGACGAAAUUCUUCGCUUUGUAGGUUAGAUCGAAGCAUUGAGAGCGUUUCCCGUCUUUAUGUUUACAUUGCAUCUGCUGCAUUGGAUCAACAUCUCUGCAGACAUAUGUGUUGAAUCAGAUACCUAGUAAGGACUUGGGCAUUGUAGGAUGUCGAAAAAUCUUUAAGUGCAGUUCUUCAAGGAGAAAGAGAGGUCUGGGUUGCAACUUGCAGGGACGUGGGGGCAAAGGCCGCUCUGUACCAUUUUGUUGUUUUGUCUCUGCUCUCCCUCAGUUUCCUUUCGGCCCACUUCGAGAGUGAUUCUGAUUCUAAAACCAAAAUUGUUUGAUUUAAUGUAUGGCUCACAGUUCGACGCCCACUCUACUACAUGCAUUUCAUGGGUAUAUACAUUACAUUACAUACAUACAUACAUACAUUGUGUAGUACAGUACAAUCAUGAAGGUAUCGAGUGAAAUAAGCUUUAUGUUCCUCCCCAUGUUUCCAUGAUAUUUGUGCUUCCCUUUCAUUUUUUUUUUUUGCUGUGUUCUUCCUGGUGUGUGUUUAGUACAUGCCAAAAUAUAUGAAAUCUAUGGUUAUAAUUCACGUGCUCUCGUACGGUCACUUACAUCGUACGAUCGACAUGAAUAUGAGGUAAUUAGAAUCAUGGAUUUCUUGAUAUGGAAACGUCGCAGAAACAAAGCUUCCAACCAAUUGCUGCCCUUGCAUCAAUCCACCAUGAUCUCUCGAGUCACACUGUGAGAGAGAUCAAAAUCAAAUGCAUCUAAACCUAUUAUAUGUUAUUAUCGUUUCCCUGCAUUCACUUAGAGAAAGAGUAAGAAUUUAUGCCCUUUUUUUCACAAAUCUAUUACGCAAUAUAAACUAUAAGUAUUAUAUGUGAAUAUGCUAGAAUUCUUAUUAAUAUAUAUAAAAUAUGUUCAGGGAGGAGAAAGGGAAUAACCCCGAGAUCUUGCAUUGCGCAUGGCUUCUAGGAAUGAUGAUGAGGUAUGUGAUGAAGAAAAUAUUGAAGGAUAUAAUGUAGAUGGGCAAGAGGAUCAUUUUCAGUAUGAAGGUACUGAGCAUGUUGAUUCAGAGGUUUAUUGGGAUUCAUAAUAUAUAUUCAAUGAGAAUGCUGAGGGUCAUUUGAAUGAAGAAGAUGAGCAUAUCGGUGAUAGAGCAGAUCCCGAAAAUGGAGAGCAUAUAGUUGUGAGAUUAUCACCAACAACAGCGGAUGUGGUCAUCUCUAGUGAUGAAGAUGAAGGCUAUAUUUCAGAAGAGCUAGUGGACGAGUGUAUCUCUGAUGAUGAGAAGAGUGAAGAGGAGUUCAGAAAGUACCCCGAGUUUGAUGAGAAUGCCACAUUUGGGGAGGUUCAAUUACAAUUAAACAUGUUAUUCCCGAACUUAAUUAUGUUCAAGAAAGCUGUGGCAAAUUAUAAUAUAGCAGUAGGAAGGGUAUUCAAGUUUAUGAAGAAUGGCAACGAAAGGGUUAGGGCAAAGUGUAGAUCGGACGGGUGCAAAUGGGAGAUCUUCUGUUCUUGGAGUAAUGAGGUGAAAACUUUCAAAGUAAAGAAGUUCGUAGAGCCACAUACUUGUGCUAGGGGAUUCAAAAACAAGCAAGCUAAUAAGAAGUGGUUGGCUACUCAGCUUGUUGAUGAAUUAA